UACGUAGGAUGCAAGCGUUGUUCGGAAUUACUGGGCGUAAAGAGUACGUAGGCGGCAAUGUAAGUCUGAUAUUAAAGACUGGAGCUUAACUUCAGGAGUGUAUUGGAAACUACAUAGCUAGAGGAUAGUAGAGGAAGUCGGAAUUCCAAGUGUAGCGGUGAAAUGCGUAGAUAUUUGGAAGAACACCAGUUGCGAAAGCGGACUUCUGGGCUAUUACUGACGCUGAGGUACGAAAGCGUGGGGAGCAAACAGG
RNAcentral lists this ribosomal RNA (253 nucleotides) under uncultured bacterium. RNAcentral describes it as "partial 16S ribosomal RNA". It matches the Rfam family "Bacterial small subunit ribosomal RNA", at positions 524 to 776 of the family's 1533-position model. The record is from RNAcentral.